GGAAAGUCUAAGAAGAAGGAUUUCAAGUUUUAGGCAAUCUUUUGUUACGGUAAUCAAAUCACUCUAUCGAAUACGACUGCAAUGCCCGCUGUGCUUUUAAAUUGAAGAAGCUGGCUUUUGCUUUUGGUGGGGAGAUGUUCCAAUCUUGUGUAGUAUCAAGUAUGCGCUAUCCUAUAAACUUCAGGAUUAUGUGGUUCUUCCAAAAACCAGAUCCUCUUUGCAGGAUAAUCUACGUAGUUGUUAGUCGUAUACGACUCUUUGGUGGAAGUAGUUUGUCAUAUUUAGUAGGUUCUGUAUUCGUUCUUUUUGAUUCCCGAGCUUAGAAAUGGCUGCUGUGCUGUGACAUAACUUGAACAGUAGCUGCGAUGGAGAAGAGAUGGAUCAUCCACAAUGAGUUUUAUGCUAUUCUGUCAUGGCUGCUAUGCCUGUUGUACUUCAAACUUC
Molecule: unclassified non-coding RNA, 444 nt
Filed under: Hevea brasiliensis (rubber tree)
Lineage: Eukaryota; Viridiplantae; Streptophyta; Magnoliopsida; Malpighiales; Euphorbiaceae
Source: RNAcentral